Apodemus sylvaticus (European woodmouse) is the source of this 719-nucleotide long non-coding RNA. RefSeq lists it as uncharacterized. The transcript is spliced from 3 exons. NCBI's taxonomy places the organism in Eukaryota, Metazoa, Chordata, Mammalia, Rodentia, Muridae. The record is from RefSeq and is a predicted model, not a curated record.
ACAGGGCAUGCUGUCUGAGGAAGAUCCCAAAAGAGUCCUCUGAGGGCCUUCUUCCUGUGUGAGACAGCUGGCCUCUCAUUGUGUCCUCAUGGUGGAAGAGGCUAGCUCCUCACACCUGUCUCCCAACUCUGCAGAGUUCCAACCUCUCUCACCACAGGGAACCUCAGAGUAAGAGGUGAAGAAGGGAAUGCUGGGACUUUUCCCAUGAACAGCUAGCCUUCCUAUACCCAGACAGCCCCUGCCGAGGGGAACCCGUUAGCCAAAACUAUCGUCCGGUGGGCAUCUUGAACAGCUUCAUUUUAAAGGGAUGUAAGCCCCAGCAGCGACAAGGAGGCCUGAGGGCGUUGAUCACGUUAUCUGCUGACAGUGCGCCUCACCUGCCUGCUGGUGUGGAGGGUGCUCAAGAAGAAGGAAGUGUUUUCUCUUCCUGCUCCUCAGGAACAGGGUUCCUGUUCAGCAGAAUUGAAGAGGAAUAUAUUUACAACUGGAACCUGGCUCUAGCUCCGUGGGGACUGAAAUGAAGGAGACGCUUUUUUCUGCAAGGGGCUGUUCUGCCCACGAUGAGAGACAAAAGUUUGGUGGGAGACGCUGAAAAGCCACAGUCCUACCGUGUCUCAGACAAGAGUGUUGGUGGAGGGGAAGGAAGCAGGAGUGACUCAUACGUAAUAUUUAGAGGCCAAGUCUCAAAAGAUUGGCUCAGACUAGAAAAUAAAAAAUAC